AUACAAUUACAUGAUGAUUGCAUAGUUCAACUGAAAUUAUCUUGACGAUUCCUUAAUAUUGUCUUUCGCUCCUAUCUGAUAUCGUUU
RNAcentral lists this small nucleolar RNA (87 nucleotides) under Acromyrmex echinatior (Panamanian leafcutter ant). RNAcentral describes it as "Small nucleolar RNA snR60/Z15/Z230/Z193/J17". It matches the Rfam family "Small nucleolar RNA snR60/Z15/Z230/Z193/J17". Rfam says of the family: The members of this family belong to the C/D class of snoRNAs which contain the C (UGAUGA) and D (CUGA) box motifs. Most of the members of the box C/D family function in directing site-specific 2'-O-methylation of substrate RNAs. The family includes the yeast snoRNA snR60 (also known as Z15) and the corresponding human guide snoRNA U80 (SNORD80). The record is from Rfam by way of RNAcentral. Lineage: Eukaryota; Metazoa; Arthropoda; Insecta; Hymenoptera; Formicidae.